This 282-nucleotide long non-coding RNA is filed under the name Physcomitrium patens. RNAcentral's name for it is "long non-coding RNA (PPAT_LNC002351)". The record is from RNAcentral. Lineage: Eukaryota; Viridiplantae; Streptophyta; Bryopsida; Funariales; Funariaceae.
AUGGUUGGAUUAGAAGAUAUGAGGUAUUGAAGUUUAAAAAAAUUUCUAUAUAAGGAUAUACAAGAUUUUAGAAGAUUUUAUCAUGUUUUGGAUGUUAUUGGUUACUUGAGGCUUAUGUAUUUAGUGUAAUUGCUCCAAAAAGGGAAAUUUUAUAUAUAAACUUAGGGCUUCCAUUAUUUUGAAGCUUGAUUGAAUAAUUAGUGAUAGCGAGGAGUCCAAUGCUUUCUUGAGGGAAAUUCUUUUUACCCCGACAAUGGGAUAAAUAAGGUAUUAAGAGAUUUU